RNAcentral lists this ribosomal RNA (605 nucleotides) under uncultured cyanobacterium. Its description in RNAcentral is "bacterial SSU rRNA". It matches the Rfam family "Bacterial small subunit ribosomal RNA", at positions 157 to 795 of the family's 1533-position model. The record is from RNAcentral. Lineage: Bacteria; Bacillati; Cyanobacteriota.
CGGCCGCUAAUACCCCAUAUGCCGAGAGGUGAAACGAAUUUCGCCUGAGGAUGAGCUCGCGUCUGAUUAGCUAGUUGGUGGGGUAAGAGCCUACCAAGGCUUCGAUCAGUAGCUGGUCUGAGAGGAUGAUCAGCCACACUGGGACUGAGACACGGCCCAGGCUCCUACGGGAGGCAGCAGUGGGGAAUUUUCCGCAAUGGGCGAAAGCCUGACGGAGCAACGCCGCGUGAGGGAUGAAGGCCUCUGGGCUGUAAACCUCUUUUCUCAAGGAAGAAGAUCUGACGGUACUUGAGGAAUAAGCCACGGCUAAUUCCGUGCCAGCAGCCGCGGUAAUACGGGAGUGGCAAGCGUUAUCCGGAAUUAUUGGGCGUAAAGCGUCCGCAGGCGGCCUUUUAAGUCUGUCGUUAAAGCGUGGAGCUUAACUCCAUUUAAGCGAUGGAAACUGGAAGGCUAGAGUGUGGUAGGGGCAGAGGGAAUUCCCGGUGUAGCGGUGAAAUGCGUAGAUAUCGGGAAGAACACCAGUGGCGAAGGCGCUCUGCUGGGCCAUAACUGACGCUCAUGGACGAAAGCCAUGGGAGCGAAAGGGAUUAGAUACCCCUGUAGUC